GGGUGAUAGUCUCCCAUGAGCUGAUGUUGAUGUUGCAUUUUUUCCAAAUUGGCAUGCUUGCAGGGCUUUCUCUGCCCUCUUUUUGAGUGUAUGCUUUGAUUGAGCUGGGAGAAUAGAACUUGGUUUGGGAGUCUGGAGUCAGACAUCCAGGUGACAUGGCCAACCCAACAAAAUUGAUGUCAAACGAUCAUUGCCUCAAUACUCAUGUGUGUUUGCUUGCAAGAGGAUGCUAAUGUUCAUGCAUCUGUCUUCCCACUAGAUUUGAAGAAUCUUCCGAAGGCAGCAUUGAUAGUACGUCUCCAACGACUUGAGGUGUCUCCUGUACAUUGUCAACGUCUCAGCUCUGUCCAGCCAGGCGUCCAAAGGCUGCACUUGCAUAUUUGAGGUGACGUUGGAUUUCUUCGUCAAUAUAAGCCUUAUGCAAGAGAUGGCUUCUGAGGUAUGGGAAAUACUCAGCGUUCUCCAGAGUUUCACCAGGAAUCUGAAUUACUGGAGCUGGGGACUGCUCAUUAAGGUCUUGUUGAUGGAGGACCUUUGUCUUCUGAAUGUUAAGUGUCCUCAGUGCUGCUUGUGUAUUUUGCAAUAGUCAUCAGAAAAAAAUCACAAAAGAGUCACUUUCCCUCUUGCACAGACUCCUUCUGACUCCAUGACUCUUGUAUUCCUAACAGGUUUCAACAGGAAGGACUGACAAUGCCCUCAGCCCUACCUAGACUAUUGCCUAGUGGUUUGGGCACUUUCCUAGGAAAUGGGAGAUAUAGGUUUGAAUCUCCUUAAUCUGAGAAGGAUCAAGAAUCAGGCUCUCCCAUGUCCUGGGAAAAUGCCUUAAUCAUUAGGGCAUCGAGCAAAAGAUGACCACCACCACCAUGACGUCAAACAAAAAACCCUCUAUGUGGGUUUUUUACUAUUGAAUGAUUUGGGAACUUAGGUGGUGUUUAUGAGCUUCCCAAAAUGGAACUAGAUCACAACAGAGCUCAGGCAGAAUUAGACAACUAGGCUAAGUACAGACAGUCAAAAAGCCCAAGGCUAAAUUGAUUCAAUCUUUGCAGUUUAGUCUAAACUGCAUAGCUUGCAAGAAUAGGCAGGUGAACAGGCAUUCACUUGAUUCCAGAAAUGCAGACACAUGCCUGCAGUGGCCCAGUCUGACCUGGCCACUCAGCAAAGAGGGGUUUGCAGGGGAAGUGCAAAGCAUGUUGGGAUGCUGGGGGACUGUGAGUUAACUUGAAUCUGAAGGGGAUCUGGGACAGAAGUUCAAUAAACUGAUUUAAUCUAAAUCAGUUAAGUCUGAUAAUACAUCCAUCCAAGUUUAUCUUAAACCAGUUUCAGACAUUUUGAAAGUGGUUUAUGUGCACUGAGCUUCUGUUGUGUUACAGAUUUGAACCAGUUUCUGAUCACUUAAACCAGCUUGUGUAAUUUCUUUUCCUAGCCCUAAAGAAUCAAGACACUGAAGCAGUUUUGAGGCUGCUGCACAUAUUGAAAUGGAAUUACAUUUAGAGACUUGGGGCCAGAUUCUAUUCCACAUAUUAGGCACAUAAGUGGAUUUAGGCACAUGAGUGCAAUUCUAUUCCAUCCUGCUGAAGUCCCUGAAAAGAGGGUACAAAAGAUGGAUCAUCUUCCUCCUCGCUGCAUUUUUGUGAUUCAGUAUUAAGGGUGAGAUGACAAGGAGUUACAAGAGAGGUGUAUUAAUGGAUUUUCAGGGCUUGAAGAGCACAGAAUAGAAUCACACUUAGAUACCUAAAUCUAUUAAGAAUAAGGACACAUGUAACACUUAAAUCAGUUUAAAUGCAGUUUAAACCUGAAACAGAGAGACAUACAAGCCUGUUAAACCUACUUUGACUGCCUGAAAUGGUUCAAAAGUGGAAAAUCAAGUACUCUUUUGAAACAUUUUAAUGUGAACUGGAUCAAUUCUAUGUGUGGAUACUAAGGCUGCUUGCAGACGUUAAAAACAAACAAACAAAAACAACCCAUGCUUUACUGGAAGCAGCAGCACAUUACUUCAAUCUGGUUCCACAGCAUCUGUAUAGAUCGCGGGCUUCAGCGGGGCUUUUUGACACUUAUCUAAAGUUGAUUCAAUCAGAUAUUAGAUAAAAGCACCCAAAAAGUCCUACUAAAGCGCCCAAUCUAUGAAGAUGUUAAGCAAGCUGGGUCCAACUAAAGUGAUGCCUCUUCUGGCCAUGUACUGGGCUCAGCUCGGGGGUGUGCAGAGGUUAAAACAAAGCACUGUUUGUGGUCGUUGGGGUUUUUUUUAAUGUCUGCAAGCAGCCUUAGUGUUCUAUAAUUCAAGUCUGGUUGGACCUUCAGACAUCCCACACUGUCACAGACAGACAUCUAGUAGCCAGAAGAAAUUUACUAUGCCCCCUCCUUUUUUUUCCCUUUUGUUGGCACUUGUUAAUCAGCGAGCUCCCUUGCACUGUUUGCUCAGAUAAAAGCUAUCAUGCUAAUAACCAGCUGUGUCCUCACUCCCUACUUGACUAUACCCCCUCAUCAUGUCCCCCAGACCCUGGGAACCCAAGACUUGGAACCAAGCACUCCUUCAUUUCCCACACUCCAGGUCAGGCAAUCACACCCAGAGAUUACCUGAGCUGGGUGCAGGGUCCGGGGCAAGGAAGCUGGCAGUGGAUUUGGCAGCGAAGGGGGGUGGUGCUGAGCAGCCGGAUGUGAAACCAGCGUCAGCGCGGAGUUGCCGCAGCUGCUCCGCCCAGAUUCACAGGGCCCCCAAAGCACAGGGCCCAGGGCAGUCAUCCCCAUUUGCCUCCCCGCCAGGGACAGCCUUGAUCACACCUCAGUUUGGUCAAGCCCAGUUUAUUGAACUUGACUGAAUUCACGUUUAAGACAGAAGGGAAAGCAGAAAAUGAAAAUGCCCUCCAGCUACAGGUCUUCCAACUCUGGGACUCCCAGUUAUGGCUGGGUGCUCACUCCUACCUGUUGGUGUCAGAGCCCCAGCACUUCAGUGCCUAAAAGGUGACUGUACUAUCUAGAAUACUGGGGCACUGUAUGUGUGGGCACCUCUGACCUGCAACAAUUGUGAACCAGUUCCCAAUCAAUGACUGGUUCAGUUGUUACAUGUGUCCCCAUCCUUAGACACCCAAAAGUUGUAACAGACUCUGGCCCUUACGAUGCACCUAUUCCAAUUUCAUAGCAAUCCUGGCAUCGCCAAGAAGCAUGGCUACAUCCACUCACACCUGCUCCACAUACAAUGAACCUGAGAACAAAGCUGUGAAAUCAACCUAAGGGCACCCCCUGCCACUGCUCAGUAGUGCACCAGACACAGACAACUUGAGAGCAUUGGAAGGGAGGCUCCACCAGAGCUGCUUCACUGUCUUAUUCCCAGGUUUAAAGUAUACAGAAUAGAAGCGGAUAGUCGGAGUUCAUAGAUUCAUAGAUGCUAGGGUCGGAAGGGACCUCAAUAGAUAGAGUCCGACCCCCUGCAUAGGCAGGAAAGAGUGCUGGGUUCAGAUGACCCCAGCUAGAUGCUUAUCUAACCUCCUCUUGAAGACCCCCAGGGUAGGGGAGAGCACCACCUCCCUUGGGAGCCCGUUCCAGACCUUGGCCACUCGAACUGUGAAGAAGUUCUUCCUAACGUCUAGUCUAAAUCUGCUCUCUGCUAGCUUGUGGCCAUUAUUUCUUGUAACCCCCGGGGGCACCUUGGUGAAUAAAACCUCACCAAUUCCCUUCUGUGCCCCACAAUUCCCUUCUGUGAGUUGUGAUUCGUGGUGGCACACUCAGAAGCACCAUGGAAGCAUGGACAUCUUGCUAUAGCCUAAAAGCCAGGUAACUGCUACUUAGAUGUCUUGAAGAAUAGGAUCCAGGCCAACUACAGAUCGCUAAGCAGACUCCCUUCUGAAAGACAGCAGUGCAGUAAACACACACACACAGAUAUACCUCUGUACAUACACAUACACAGGUGCGCACUUUAAGAAUACAGAUAUAUGCACACAAAUAAUGCGGACGCAUAUAUACGCACUUCCCAAUACAAAUAUAUGCACACAAUAUGCAAAGUCAUACAUGGAUGCACACUUGCAUACAGGUACCCACAUUUAAAGGCAGGCAUGUGCACAAAUCAAACACAUGCAUACAUGUGCAUAUAGUAACAGAACCACAUCUCUGCACUCAAACAUAUUCAUUAAUACAUUGCUAUGGAUCUACAUGCAUGAAUACACAUGUAUGUGCACACAAAGGCAUAUAUGUAUGCAUAUCAUUGACAUGCAUGCAUAGCCACGUGUAUGCACAUAUACAAAUGAGGCAGUUAGUCAUAUUCAUAUGUUUGCAUACAAACACAUGGAUAAGAACAAGCAGAAUCGUCUUCAUGCAUACAAGUACAGACACAAACAUGCCUCAGAUUUAGACACGCAAAUGUGCAUGAAAAAAACACACAUGCAUAUACGCACACAUUCAUAAAAAAUACAAUACAAGUAUACAUACAUGGCAUACAUGCAUGUGCAGUUUAGGUAUAAAUACAAAUGCAGUUAUGCACACAGAAACAUAUGUAGUCAUACAAAUACACAUCUUAUGGCAUACACAUGUAACCUGGGUACACCCAAGGGUGUGCCCUAUUCUCAAUUGGAUGGGAUGGGUAGGCAGGAGGAGGUGCUGUGAGAGGGAUGCCAGAAUUUCAGGCAGAUCCCUCUUUCCUCUAUAGAGUUAGCCCAGGCCCAAAGUUCUUAAAUAUAUACAAUUUAUUGAGUUACCAACAUUUCUAUACAAAAUUCUUUACAAUAGAUACAAUUACAGGUAUAGGUACAAAUAUAUAUAUAAAGGUCUGUUAGCAAGAGGAAGUCUGCCCUAGGGAGGGCAUUCGGGUAAGUACCCAUGCCUCAGUCCCAGAAGAGGGGUAAAUUCCAGGACAAUCAAUCCAGCAAGUUUAUACCACAAAUGGGUUAGCUAAUAAAGACAUCCUUACAGAGCCCAUUAUAUGGAAUUAAUGCACCCAACUAUUUAUAACACCAACAAUAACAAUAGAUACCAAAUAGGAAACAUAACUAUACCAGAUAUUAGACACACCCUAUCUGGGUUCCAAGCACUUGGUUCCUCAAAUGGGAUAGGUUCUUCUCCCCCUAGGUCGCCUGGGGGUUCCACAGGCCUUCCCCCUUGCUCACUCCUCCCUUGCCUGAAGGCACCUCCCCUGUGGGGCUCAGGUUCCCGGUAACUCACGGUCCUUCCUCUGGGGGCUGUCAAUCUGGCCUCUGGGUCCUGACACCAUCGCAGGCCUCCUGGAGCUGUCGGCCUUGACUUGAGGGUCCUUCUCUCUGGGCCCCGUGCUGGGCACCCAGGGAGCUCCUAUGGGAGCCAGGACACACUCAAGUUCCCAGCCUCAUGCUGGGGGUGUUUCCCCUUCCCAGGCCCUGCUCUGGACACCUGGACUUUUUUAGUUUAAUGCUGAGCCAUACUGUGGGGCUUCAGUUACCUGGCCUAGAGCUGGGGCUAACGUGAGCAGCCUCGAGCUGCUCCCAGGGCCAGUUCUCCAUGCACCAAUCCACGCACAGCCUCACCCAGCAGCUUGCUGGGUGUGCAGGCUCAAGCUGCCUCAAGCAUCUCCCAGAGCCUGAGUACCAUGCGCCAACCCACGCACUGUUGAGGCUCAGGUGGGGUCCUGAUGAUGGUCUUCUCUGGAGCUCCUCUCUCUUCACCAUCCCUCACCAUGUCUGUCCAGCAUGUUGAGCACACCAGGCUUUUAUUUACACUGGAGGCCCUAUCCCUGAAGUCUGCCAUACCUGCACAGCGUAGUCUUCAAUCAGGUCCAGGGGCUCCUCGUUCUCCUGUCUCUGAGCAGGGGCGCAGCAAGCCCCUCCCAGCUGUUACCUGAUUGGUGGAGAUGUUCUAAAACAGAUUCGGACACAGAUUGGUAUGUACACAUGGACAAAUACAAACACAAAUUUAUGUCUGGAAACAUAUGUUUGCACAUAGGUAGACCUACAUGUAUAUAAGUAUUCACUCAAACACACACAUGUAUGUGCAUACAGACUUACAGAUGCACCUAUAUGUCUGAAAACACAAAACUGCAUACACAUAUACAAGUGCCUGCACACUUACAGACAUACUUGUCUGCACACAUAUGGAGGCCUAUACAUGCAUACAGGUUUACAUACAGUCAUGUGCGUACACACAUUUUGAGACAAGUAUGUAUUUUCAUGUUUUUGGGGGGUAAGCCCCCCGAUUGGCCAAGGGGACCCAGCACCUCUGCCCCUCGCUACCCAUUGGUAGAAAGGGCUGCCCAUCAUGCAGCCCCACCCCUCACCACUGAUUGGCAGAGAAGGGUGGGGCCAGGGGAACCAUAUUUUUUGCACCCCUGCCCUAGCCCCCCCGUAGGGCUCAAGACACUCCUAUGCCCUCAGGCACUAUUGGGACCCCUGACAGUUGCAAACCCAAACCACCAGUUAAGACUAAAACUAAAAAGUACUCUGGCUAGAACUAAACCUCUAGCCUUCUGGCCAUAUACCAAAACUCCUACCCAGCCAUGGGCCUUAGUCCACUACUGGGCCUCAGCCCUUCACAUGCCAUCUCCAAGCAUAGCACGCUCACAGUCCAUCUGUCAGCAACAGUCAUCUCACCACCUAGCCCCCCCUUCUUCAGCUUCCAGGGCCAGACUGACUGCCUUGGCUCUGGCUCUGGCUUAUCCUUCUCCAAUGCCCUGCCCCUUUCCGGUCAGGUGACCCCUCAGUGCUGGCCCCAGGUGUGCUAUCUAAUUAGGCUCACUAACUGGUCUCCAUGGCAGCCUACCUGUAGCAGUUCCUUGUCUCCCCUGCAGAACUUCAGUCUACAGUCCUACUGUGGAGCAACCAGCACUGCAAUAAGCUUCCUACUGCUAACACAGACAUUGUCCUAUUGUAGCACUCACAGUCCUCAUGUCCCUGGACCAGGUCUCCUACAGCAGUCUUCCCCAACCUGGGGCUCUCCCUGGGCUCUUUCUCCCUUUAAGUAACAAAGAGCCCCAGGCUUUCUGUUGCAGUAUGCGGUUAUGCAUUCAGGUAGUGUCAGAGUGAUGUAGCCGUGAUGAUCCAUAAAUUAUGAUGGGUCUGUUGUCCAUUCAGGCACAGGCACUAAGACACACUUUGUAUUUAUGCAUAGAUGUAUAUGUAUGUAUGUAUGUAUGUAUGUAUGUAUGUAUGUAUUCACACAAAUUACACAAAUACACGCACGCACGCACGCACUCACAUACCAGCAGACAGCUGUAUGCAUGCAAACACAGACAUCUAUGCACAUGCAAACACACACUUUCUGUUAUAAACUUGCACAAACAAACUAACAUCUACCCCUUCACACAAAGACUUGUUAUCAAUUUUCACUGCAACAUUAAGUGGUAACUGCGACAGUGUUCAACAGUGUUCAUGCUGAAAGACUAUAGUGCAAAAAUGGUAACAGCUGCUAACAUGUUUUACUCCUAAUGUGCAUUGCUGACAUGUUUAAUUGCUAUUUCAUGCAUUAAAGUUAAAUGAUUGCAGUAAAUGAGUAAUCUCUCUAA
Alligator mississippiensis (American alligator) is the source of this 7456-nucleotide long non-coding RNA. RefSeq lists it as uncharacterized. The transcript has 2 exons. Lineage: Eukaryota; Metazoa; Chordata; Crocodylia; Alligatoridae. The record is from RefSeq and is a predicted model, not a curated record.